UUCUUCCCUGUACAGCUCCGUGGAAGGACCCUGACUCCCUCUAGUGGACAGCACCAGUAGGCAAACAGUAAUUCUGCCCAGCAAAGUCCAGAAGCCAAGAGAAGGCACUACAGAAAUGCUGGAACUGAACUCUGAUAAGAGGAAAAAUGAGGUGUCUAGUCCCAGAAGAACCUUGCUGCUGUUGCUCUGACCCGAGCGCGUCAUUGGUGAAGGAAAAGUUGGAUCAGUUGUCCAGGGACAUUUCAUGUAGGACCAGGCUGUGCUGCCGUUGAUCACAACUUGGCUUUCUGGAGAAUUCCGCUGUGCUUCUGUGAUCUCGCUGUGGGCCCCAUGCUGGAAGCUCUGCUCCUCUCCCAGUGGGGACUCCACUUCUCAUUUCCUGGGCCUUCUGUUCAUGAUUUGCGGAUGUGACAGAGGAUGAUGUUGGCUCCAUCUGGAAAGUGGGUCAGCCAGUCUUCGAGGAGACACCUUGGAGGCCUAGGAAUAGUGCUCUGGAUACAGAUGACAUAAGCUUAGAGACAGAUAGGAGAGGGAAGAAAGGACUUGACCCUCAGAAAGUGAAAUUCAACUUCAGCCUGAAGUGGAGCAUUG
Cercocebus atys (sooty mangabey) is the source of this 591-nucleotide long non-coding RNA. RefSeq lists it as uncharacterized. NCBI's taxonomy places the organism in Eukaryota, Metazoa, Chordata, Mammalia, Primates, Cercopithecidae. The transcript is spliced from 3 exons. The record is from RefSeq and is a predicted model, not a curated record.